This is an RNA transcript of Trifolium pratense (red clover), 2914 nucleotides long. RefSeq lists it as uncharacterized. The record is from RefSeq and is a predicted model, not a curated record. Lineage: Eukaryota; Viridiplantae; Streptophyta; Magnoliopsida; Fabales; Fabaceae. The transcript has 7 exons.
CAAACACAAUAUGUUGACAAAAGACAAUUACAACAUCAGACGCCAAUACAAAAUGUUGAUAACAGGCAGUUACCACAUCCACUACAAGAAAAUAAUCAUAUACCGGCAGUCAAAUAGCGGCAGUUGCUCACCAACCGCAGCCGCUUCCACAUAUACCAGCAGUUUGGUAGCCGCCGCUCUUGUUCAUAUAAUACCGGCUGUUGGCUUAUAUCUAACACCGUCGGUUUGAAUCACCGCUGAUUGCUUAUAGUAGAUUUGGGAAAAACACUGCUACCUAAUCUACUUUCCCUUGUUUUUUUCUUCACUUUUCCCUCAUAUUUUUCAUUCUUUACCUCAUCCACAGAAGAAGCGUCAAAAUUGCUCCCUUCCUUUCGACGUCGUAGUUCCAUCCACAGUUGACGUUCCUCUCGUCGCCAUCGCAGCUCCUCCUCAACACAGGUUUCAUCGCUCUCUCUUCCCCCCUCUCUCUUCCUAUCUCCGAUUACGAUCCCUUGUUAUCCACGUGUUUGGUUAGGAUUCUUCUCUUGUUUUGCUUAAUUUGUUAAUUUCUUGGAUUCUUCUACAGUUUGAUUUUAGGGUUUUUAAAGUUUAGUGGUUUAAUUUCUUGGAUUCUUCUACAGUUUGAUUUUUAGGGUUUUUGAGUUUAGUGAUUUAAUUUCUUGGAUUCUUCUGCAUUUUGAUUUUUAGUGUUUUGAUAGUUUGUUAAUUCUCUUGGAUUGAUUCUUCUACCGUUUCAAUUUGAUCCAAAUUUCACAUUUUUUUUAAUUAAACAUAUUGAUCAGAUUUAUAUAAUGAACAAAUGUGUAAAAUAUAAAAAAGCAUACUUAUCAGGAACCUAGAUCAUCUUUGUAUUACAACAUAUUAUUGAUUAUUGAUGAAAGAAUCGUGUAAAUUUUCAAUAAUGGUAACAAAAAUUCAACCAAAAUGCAUUAUAGGAAUGAUUAUAAUGGGAUAUAUAUGGUUGGAUUUUGGGGGAUCAGAUUUUUAUGCAUUUAUUCUAGACAUAUUAUAAUUGGCCUACAAACAUGUAAAUACUAAAUGGUAUAUUAUUAGCUUAAUUAGACUCAGAUCUCAUCACAUAAUCUUUCUAGUUGAAUUCCAUGAAACCAUCAAAAGAUCACACUCACCUCCAACAAAGUCUUUCUUUUUGCUUUAGUGAGUGAUUCACUUCAAAUUCUGCUGGAGUUCCUGAUAAUCUCGUUCCUUUGCAAGGUUAGUAAAAUUUUAUGUUUAAUUGUGGAAUAUGGCCUGAUGCUAUUAUUCAUCAUUGAAUUCGUCUAUGAUUGAGCGUAAGAAGAAGCAAUUACAAACAUCACUUUAAACUAAGCACCGUUUAUAUUUCAUUACCCUUUUUUUAACAUUGGAAAGUUCAUACUUUUAGUAAUUAGCAUGGGAUGACUGUACAUAUAGAUUCCUUAAUAUUGAAUCAAUUGAAAUAAGUGGUAUAGAUACUUUCAAGACCCUUCUUUAUUCACACAUAGCAGUGUCAGUGUGUGUGUUGGUAUGUGAGGGAUAUUUAUAUCAUGUCAAACUAAGGUCACAAUAUAAUAAUUGUUACCUCUUUGAAAGGACUUGAUCACAAACAGGGCAUACAGCAUACUCCAUCGUUGCUUAAUAUCUCAUUGGCAUCUUCAGUGCAUGUUAACUAUGUUAAGGAAACCAGAACAAUGUGAAUAACCACUUGAAUAACAGAACAAAUAGGAGUAUCUACCUAAUUUGAUAUGAACUAUACUGAUUUUAUUUACUGAGUUUCCUCAUUAUGCUGUAAAUUAACAUGAAAAUGACAGGGAUGCUAUUACUGUAUCAGUUAUAAAUUUAAUAAAUUCUAUACGACAAUAAACCACCAAGCCUUAUUAUACAAGUUCCAAGUUUCACACUGAUCAAUUUUGUAAUCUUAAUUUUCUCUUUGUAGGUUUUGAACCAUUUGUUAUAUCUUAUGAGAGUUUCAGAAAAGGCAUUCCAAAGACGAGUUGCUUUGGCUCUUGCUCAUCUUUGUUCUGCAGAUGACCAGAGAAAAAUAUUUAUUGACCACAAUGGGCUGGAGUUGCUUAUUGGACUUCUUGGUUCAUCCUGUCCUAAGCAGCAACUCGACGGUGCCGUGGUAAACCUCAAAUAAGUCUCGAGUUCUUGGUUCAUCCUGGAGUUGCUUACAAGGUGUAUGGUGUAAAACCACCUGAAAGUGCAGUAUUGAAUGGAAGAAAAUCAGGUGAUUUUACAACUCUGAAUGUUCAUAUUGAUGGUUUUAGUUGGUCUUUCAAAGACAUUGGCCGAAGAUGCUGCAUGAUCGUUGGUGGCGAAGGUGCAUAGCUGAACUAAUGAAGCAAUUCUUUGCAAGAGGCAGUUCUGAUGUGUAGCUCAAGUAAUUUUUAUGGGUGUUGGGUAUCAAUAGCAACCUGCAAAAUCUUGCAGGCUAAAGGUGAUGAGAUAGCAAAAUUGAUGAAUGAGAAUGAACAAUUCCAAGCUUUAAUUGAAGAUUUAAAGAAAGGGAUGAUGCUUGAUAGUGUGGAGUUAACAGGAAGUACAUGUUGGCUUGUAGUUGACAGGUCUGAUAUGAAACAUCUUGCUUUAAAGUCUAUUUUGAUGUGUUCUUUAGGUGUGAUUUACAUUCAUCAGGUGUGGUAAAGUAUUUUUGGUUGGUUUGGUUUGAUGUUGGUGCUGCCAUCAAAUUUGCCUUUGUUAUUGCUCAGCUGGUCUAUGCAUAAAGUUUACAAGUUCUCUGCACAUCCUUAAACUAUCUCUAGUUUUGUGGUUCUACUACUAGGUGUAUGCAAUGUGCAAUAUUCAUUAAUUUAUAAUCAUUAUAUCUCAUCUUAGGUGUUGAAUUUGUGAUUAAACUCUUCUAUUUGUGACUUCAAUUUCAUGUUUGUACUUUGGAUAUUAAUUUACUGGAAUGCACUUAUCAAUUAGACUCCAA